AACGAACGCUGGCGGCAUGCCUAACACAUGCAAGUCGAACGAGACCUUCGGGUCUAGUGGCGCACGGGUGCGUAACGCGUGGGAACCUGCCCUUAGGUUCGGAAUAACUCCCCGAAAGGGGUGCUAAUACCGGAUAAUGUCUUCGGACCAAAGAUUUAUCGCAUUGAAUGGGCCCGCGUUGGAUUAGCUAGUUGGUAGGGUAACAGCCUACCAAUGCGACGAUCCAUAGCUGGUCUGAUAGGAUGAUCAGCCACACUGGGACUGAGACACGGCCCAGACUGCUACGGGAGGCAGCAGUGGGGAAUAUUAGACAAUGGGGGAAGACCUAGUCCAGCAAUGCCGCGUGAGUGAUGAAUGCCUUAGGGUUGUAAAGCUCUUUUACCCGGGAUGAUAAUGACAGUACCGGGAGAAUAAGCUCCGGCUAACUCCGUG
This 432-nucleotide ribosomal RNA is filed under the name uncultured bacterium. RNAcentral's name for it is "partial 16S ribosomal RNA". It matches the Rfam family "Bacterial small subunit ribosomal RNA", at positions 29 to 507 of the family's 1533-position model. The record is from RNAcentral.